AGUUAAUAAGUUUAUAAAAACAUAUAUUUUGAAAAUAUAAAAAAGAAGAUAAAACUUCUAUUAACUU
RNAcentral lists this transfer RNA (67 nucleotides) under Phraortes sp. Iriomote Island. RNAcentral describes it as "tRNA-Ser". The record is from RNAcentral. Lineage: Eukaryota; Metazoa; Arthropoda; Insecta; Phasmatodea; Lonchodidae.